This 209-nucleotide long non-coding RNA is filed under the name Lathyrus oleraceus (garden pea). RNAcentral describes it as "Pisum sativum (pea) long non-coding RNA (PSAT_LNC018484)". Lineage: Eukaryota; Viridiplantae; Streptophyta; Magnoliopsida; Fabales; Fabaceae. The record is from RNAcentral.
AAGUGGCUGCUCCAAGCUUCAAGACAUCAUGUUUUUGCGCCUAGGUCCAAAGGAGUGUUUAACCAGUCCAUUGAUUUUGGUCUUGGUCAUUAGAAUUAGGAACCUGUUUUUGCAGCAACUUCCACUUAGUCAAAAAAUGUAAUUAUUCAGUUUUAAUAAAAAAAAUUUAAAGACAAAAUGUAUUUGGAUUAUUUGGAACUUAUUGAAAU